This 16425-nucleotide long non-coding RNA is filed under the name Theobroma cacao (cacao). RNAcentral's name for it is "long non-coding RNA (TCAC_LNC005790)". The record is from RNAcentral. Lineage: Eukaryota; Viridiplantae; Streptophyta; Magnoliopsida; Malvales; Malvaceae.
AUAUGUUUCCUAAAGCCAAAAGCAUGAAGAAGAUGCUAACUUAUGAAUGACAAAAGAUGUCAUUGGGAAAGCCAAGUAAGAAGAAAAGAAGAGAGAGCGUUAAGAUGGGAGCCAAUCUACUACUUUCAGCUCAACUCAAGAACCCAACACAAAGGUUUUCUUUAGUUCUAGACUCAAUCUUCUUGGAGUAACAAUCUGUUAAGGCUCAAGGUUUAUGUGUUUCUUGAGCUGAGGCUUCUAGCCAGAGGUAGAAUAUUUUUAGCUUCUGGGCUUAAGGGGUGGGUCUUCCUCAGCCCAGGUGAGAUAUAUUGCCUAAAGGUAGCUUAGGCGUAGUUUGCCGCAAGGACUUUUACUAGUGCAUAUAACCAGUUUCAAUUUUCAAACCACCAUUAAUUAAUUUGCAAUUAAACCUUUGAAUUGUAUUAUAUUUUUAGUGCAAUUACUGUUAAGUGGCAAAUAAAACUUUGUUGGGUUCAUCAAAACAUUCCUGGUUUAGAUGAAAACAAGAACAAAUUACAAGCAAAGUCGACACAUGUUGUUCUAUUGAUUAAUUCUAAUUCAUGAUUAGAUUAUCAAAAACAAGUUUCAAAUUAUCGUUAAUUAGUACUACCAAAAUUAAUUGGAUUUCUAUGAUUUGAAGUAAUUUCUUUCCUCUUCUUUAACUAUAUUCCUUUCAUCUUGUUUUCUUCGUUCAUCCUUCUUUUUUUUUAAAUAUUUAAAAAUUAUGUUAUAUUCUACAAAAAUUACAGCAAACUAAAUUAAGAUAUGCAAUACAUAUCGUACUCUAUGAAUAAAAAUCGAUACAUAUUGUUAUAUUUCUUGUAUUUAAUCAAUUAUUUAAAAUUUUUUUCAUUUCAUUUAUUUUAAAUCAAAGUUAUUGUUCAAUUUUAAUUUUUUUAAUACUAUCUUUAUGUACCGUCUAUUGCUUGCUUCCAUUUAAUUUUAAUAGAGAUUAAGAAAACUACAUUGACUAUAAUAUAUUUAACAUUGAAAAUUUUAAUUUUAAAAAUAUUGUGCUUUAAUGCUUUUUUAUUCCAAAUUUUUUUUAAAUAAGUAACAACAUGAAAAUUAAAUUGUUAAUGGACAGAAGGAAAGAUAACGAUGGAUGAAAUAGUAAUGAAUUAUAAGAUGCUGUUGAUGGGUGGAACAGUUGAUCCUGAAUUAAUAUUCAGUGGGAACAAAUUAAUAUAUAUAAUAUUAAAUAUACAAAAUAUAUAAAUAAAAAUUAAUUGAAGUGGUACAAAAAAAAAAUUAUGUAAAGAUAAUACAUUACAUAUGUUCUCUACUAUAAAAUAUAGUAUAGAAGCUCUGAAAAAAAAUUUUUAAUUAUCAAUACUAUAAAAUAAAUAUUUCUCUGUAACAUAAGCAAACAAUCAUUCAUUCAAUAAAAUCCCUUCAAAAUUGAUAAUAUUUUUUUAAAAAAAUUCUUUGAUUAUUUCUCUACAUAUGCAAAAUUAUUCCAUUAGUAUAAUUAAAUAUUUACAAAUGAUCAGAAUAUAUAUAUAUAUAUAUAUAUAUAUAUAAAAUAAUUAUUCAGUUAAAUAUCUUCCAAUUCUGAAAGAAGAAAGUGAUCCAAUCUUUAUAAUAUAAUCAAAUGAAUAUUAAGAUGUUGUUGGGGCAAUAUAUAUGGUUACUACUUUUAUUCCGUUUUCUUUAUCCAAUUUUUUGGAAGUAAAGUCCCAAAGUCAUGUUCUUAUUUUAUUAUUAAAUACUAAAUACUUUUUAUUUUUUGUAUAUUUAUCUCAAAUUCAAUUUUUUUUUUGUAUACUUAAACAUGAAUAUUAUCAAAAUUUUAACAUUUUAUGAUAUAAAAAUACAUUGAAAUGAAAACUUUUUCUUAAUCUAAUAUCUCAACAGUUAACCUGGAGAGGUCUCAAUUUGGAAUCUUGAAAAGAGAAGUUGAGAUUUAUAGCAUGAAUUGAAAGAGGACUCCACCCUCAAUUGGCUUAAUUUCACAUAUGUCCAGAAAGAAUACUAUUUCACAAGGGUAAAAGUGGAAUAAACUUGAAUGUGUGAUUGAAGUUGAAACAUUUACAAAUGUUUAUUACACAGAUUACAUUCAACUUGAAGCCUACAUCAACUGCCUAUUGUAUGAUGUCACAAUUUAAUUUAAUGUACAAAAUUCCUUUAAAAAUAAUUAAAAAAAAAAGGAACUAAAAAACACAAGCUACUAUUAUCUGGCAACACAAAGCUUACAUGGCACUGUGGGGAUCUAUGGUUGACCACUUCUCCUAGUUAGGCCAAUAACUCACUGAACAUAUCCUUUCUCCUCUUGAAACAAUGUGAUAAAAUGAACACAAUGCAAAAUCUUCACCGUGUAAUAACACGUAUGGAAUGCCAAGAAUCCUGCAACAACCUGGGUGGAAUUGGAAAAUUUCUAUGAACUAUCAUGUGAAGUAGGGAGGCUCACUCCAUCUUUCAGAUGGCUAAUUGAUGCCGGCCAUAACCAUCUCAGCAUGUUGGGACCCAAUACCUGAUUAAGAGGCAGAUAAAUCACAUACUAAUAGCUUGCAGGUACAAUAUAUUAACAAGAAAAAUAAAGAGGAAAGACACACAAAGCCAAGACAGAGAGAGAACGACAGUAGUCGCAGCACCAAGGUAAUGUUCUUCUAAACACUAAGAUCAAAUGGAUGAUGAUAGCUCAGCCCGGAUUUCUUAGCCAACCAUGCAGCUCGUAUUCCUUCAUAAUACCGUGAAAAGGAUAAUUUCAAAGUGGUUUAAACAACUAUGCAGGAAUAAUCCAAGCCAUGCAUCCAACUGUAAAAAAUCAACCUACCUCUAUGGCUGUCAUAUUGUGAGUUAUUAGGUAGAUAUGCCAACCUAAGAGAGUCCCAAAUGUUGCAAAUAAUGCAAGUGCCAUUGCUCCACAAGAAACCUAUAACACAUGCCACCCUCAGAAUUUAUUAGGUAGAGAGGGAGAAUAAUGACAUUAAGCUUUAUGACUUAAGCAGGUCAAACACUAGGCGAGCAGUUGAUGAAAUAGCAAACUCAGAAGCCACUAUAGAAGCAGAAAUUUCAAUUUAAAUCUAGUAUAGUUAAAACUCAAGUUUCAAGUUUGCUAUAGAAAAUGAAAGAAGGUUGUCAAAGAAUAAAUCAAAUUUAUAUAUUCUAGACCUUAGCAAAGAAGAGAAUUUGUAACGCAGGGCUCUCAAAAUAAUCACCUGGAUCAAAAAAAUCCAACUAAGAAUGACCGUCUAGUUCUUUUGGACAUUAGACAUCAGAUUGUCUAAGGCUUGCAUCAGAUUAGGGUUGUUCCAGGUCUUCAAUAUUAGGGAUAAGAAAAAUCAAGGAUAACCUGAAUAGUUCAUGUCUCACUUAAUACAUUAACAUGUUCCCUAAUAUGUAUAAAAGAAGUCAGCACAAACAUUGGUUUAAGUAUAAAAUUCAAGUUUCAAGUUCAUGUCUCACUUAAUACUUUUUCUUCCUUCCUCCUCCUCCACCAUCCCUUGAGAUUGGGACAAGAAUAAAUCCCUAGAAAUUCUAGGGAUGGGAAGAACGUCAUUGCUGUCCAUGUGUCUGUUCCUUUUCUGACACGUGUUCUAAAGCAUCCAAAGUAUUAAGUGAAAGAUGCUUUAAAGCAUCCAGCAAUGUCAAACAAAACUCCUUCAGCCAUUUCUUUUUUUGUCUAUUUGAAAGAUAAUUGUAAGAGUUUUUGAAAGAAGGAAAAUCCAUUGACUAGUGAAUCAUGAUCAUGUACCACUGCCAACAUAUAUAAAUGGAGAAGAGGAAGUACAUAGCCAAUGUGACUCUACAGGACGGUCACUAAAUUGGAAUUUGAUACUUUCCUUAAGGUGGAGAAGAAUAUGUUUCCUAAAAUCAAAAGCAUGAAGAAGAUACUAACUUAUGAAUGACAAAAGAUGUCAUUGGGAAAGCCAAGUAAGAAGAAAAGAAGAGAGAACGUUAAGAUGGGAGCCAAUCUACUACUUUCAGCUCAACUCAGGAAACAAAACAGAAAGGUUUUCUUUAGUUCCAGACCGAAUCUUCUUGGAGUAACAAUCUGUUAAGGCUCAAGGUUUAUGUGUUUCUUGGGUUGAGGCUUGUAGUCAGAGUUAGAAUAUUUUUAGCUUGUGGGCACAAGGCAUAGGUCUUGUUCAGCCCAGGUGAGAUAUAUUGCCUCGAGAAAGCUUAGGUGUAGUUUGGCAGAAGCACUAUUACUAGUGAAUCUAGCUAGUUUCAAACCAUCAUUAAUUGGUUUGCAGUUAAAACUUUGAAUUCUAGUAUAUUUUUUGCGCAAUUACUGUUAAUUGGGAAAUAAAAUUUUGCUGGGUUCAUUGAAACGUCCUUGGUUUACAUGAAAACAAAAACAAAAAAUUACAAACAAAAUCGAUACAUGUGGGUCUAUUGAUUUAUUUUAAUUAAUGACUAUAUUAUCAAAAAUUCAAGACUUGAAUUUGAUUAAGAUAUUAAAUAAUUAUAGAGAGCAUAUCUCAUUUUUACAUGGUCAUUACUUACAAAUUUAUUGAAUAAACGAAGCUGGUUGCAUGGGAAUGAGCACAACAAAUUUUUCGAGUUAUUGUGGAGAAGUAUAAAUUAAUAAACGUUUAGAUAUCUUAAAAGAAGUUACCCCUAGUGGAUUUAAUAUAUAUCAAUUUAUUAUUUUAUUGUUUUAUGACAAAUUAUAGUGGAUUAAUUAUAUUUGAAAUUUAACUAGAAUAUAUAAAAGAAUAAUAAUAUAAUAAUCCUUAAUUGAUAUACUUAUACCAAAUUAAGAAAAAUAAACUCUUCCAUGAAAAGUAAAACAUUUUUGUUUUAUCAACUCUCUUUCUCUCUCAUGUUCUAUCUUCUUCUUUUUUCCAAAUAAGAUAUAACCACCCUAUUUCAUCCAAACUUAAUUUCAACUUAUUUUCUUGAUUUUUUCCAUUUAAAAAACGAACAACAUACUAAAUUUUCAACUCUUGCAUCCUAUAAAAAUCUCUUUCCAUCUUUUGUUUAAAAAUUAUAUUAGAUUUCAUUUUCUAAAUCCUUAACAUUCUUUCUUUUUCUAAAUUUUAAAAUUACUUUUCAAGAUGAAAAGAGUAUAUUAAGAUUUUAAAAAAAUCUUAAAUUUGAAUCCGUCUCCCUUAAUUUAUAUAAAAAUCUUUCUAACAUUGAAAUAAAUUAGACCUACCAUUUUGUGAAACAAAAUGUCCCUCUUUUUCUUUAAUUAGUAUUGGCAUUUCUGGAACAAUGUUUUGGUAGUCACACUCCAUGAUCUUCAUACCUUAUUUGAACCUCACAGCUCCAUUAUUUGCAAAUAUAUGAAUUCCAUCAAAAAUCAACAAUACCAUAUCAUGUUUGGAUAGGAAGAAAAUUAAAAUUUAUAUUUAAAUUAUAAAGAUUGUAAGAAAUUAAAUUAAGAUACACAAUACGUAUCGCGCAUGAUACAUAUCAAAUGUAAUUUUUAUUCAAAAUAUAUUAAAAAAAAAACUACUCAUUUAAAUAUUUUCAAGUUUUGAAAGAAGAAAGUAAUUCAAUAUCCUUUUUGUUUCUUCCAAGUUUCUUUGAUAAAAUCAUUUAUCAUUAUUCUUUUCAUUAUAGUGAUUUAGGUUCUUUAUUACUCUCCUUAUGUUUUGUAAUAUUUUUUGAUGAGAAAGCACCGGGGAAGGACGUGAGGUAAAAGAUGAAUUUGUCACUUGUAAAUAUCUUUCAUAUUUUGUUGUCCUGUAAUUUUCUAAGAUCCUAUUUUAAUAAACCAAUUAACUAUAAAACUUUAUUUAUAUUUAUAUUUAUAUAGUAUUAUACAUUAUUAUUUUGCAAAGUAAGUUACUUUUUAUUAUAAUUAUACUUUUAUUUUUUCCAAUGUUUAUACUGAUGUCCAUUAUUAGAUACAUUGAGUCAGGUUGUUCGAGUUUGAUUGAGCAUUUCUAACAUAAUUACUAUUGCUCAAGUUGUUCCAGGUUAAGAUCAAUUGGAUUUGAUCAUCAUUCAUCUUCCUUCUCCCCAAGCAUUAGAGUUGAUUCAACCUUCCUCUAUGCCACAGUCCAGAUGGCGAACCAUAUUAGAUUUUGUGAUUGGGACAUAAUUAAUAAUCAUAUCUCAAUAAAUUAUCUCCAGGCAAUUGGAUUCAAGAAACCAUUUUGGGCAGAGACAAUAUUGUGGACAAUUACACCUCAACAGUUAACUUGAGAGGUCUCGAUUUCGAUUCUUGAAAAGAGAACUUUUGAGAUUUAUAAGAUGAUAGAGGACUCUUCCACAUGUGUGAUUGAAGUCAAAACAUUUACACAUUUGACGGUUAUUACACAAAUUACUUUAACCUCGUAGCCUAUAUCCACUGCCUACUGUAUUAUGUUACAAAAUUUUGUGUACAAAAUUCCUUUAUAAAGGGAAGUAGAAAAUAAUUUCAAAAAGGGAACUACAAGAACAAGCUAGUAUUAUCAGGCCAGGCAAAGCAUACAUGUCACUGUGUGGAUCUAUGGUUAACCACUUCUCUUCUAGUAACGCCAACAACUCACUGAACCUAUCCUUUCCCCUCUGGAAACAAUGAGAUAAAAUGAACACAAUGCAAAAUCUUCACCAUGUAAUACCAAGCAUGGAAUGCCACUAAUCCUGCAACGACCUGGGUGGAAUUGGAAACUAUCUAUCAACUAUCAUGUGAAGUAGAGAAGCUAACUCCAUCUUUCAGAUGGCUGAUUGAUGCUGGCCAUAACCAUCUCAGCAUGUUGGGACCCAAUACCUGAUUAAGAGGCAGAUAAAAUCACAUACUAAUAGCUUCCAGGGACAAUAUAUUAUGAAGAAAAUAAAGAGGAAAGACACACACAGAGCCAAGACAGAGACGGAGGGAGAAGUACCAAGGUAAUAUUUUUGUAAACACUAAGAUCAAAUGGAUGACGAUAGCUCAGCCCAGAUUUCUUAGCCAACCACGUAGCUCGUAUUCCUUCAUAAUACUGGCAAAAGGAUAAUUUCAAAGUGGUUUAAACAACUAUGCAGGAGUAAUCCAAGCCAUGCAUCCAACUGUAAAAAAUCAACCUACCUCUAUGGUUGUCAUAUUGUGAGUUAUUAGGUAGCUAUGCUAACCUAAGAGAGUCCCAAGUGUUGCAAAUAAUGCAACCAUCAUUGCUCCACAAGCAACCUACAACACACAGCACCCUCAGAAUUUAUUAUAGAGAGAGGGAGACUAAUGACUUAAAAGUUUCAUGACUUAAGUAGGUCAAACACUAAGCGUGCAGACUCCUGGAAUUCAAUUUGGUAAAUGGAUGAAAUAACAAACUCAGAAGCCACCAUAGAAGCUGAAAUUUCAAUUUAAAUCUAGUAUAGUUAAAACUCAAGUUUCAAGUUUGCUAUGGACAAUGAAAGAAGGUAGUCAAGGAAAAAAUCAAAUUUAUAUAUUCUAGACUUUAGUGAAGAAGAGAAUUUAUAACACAGGGCUCUCAAAAUAAUCACCUGGAUCAAAUAAAUCCAACUAAGAGUGGCCAUCUAGUUCUUUUUGGACAUUACACAUCAGAAGAGAAUUUAUGACACAGGGCUUGCAUCAGAUUAGGGUUGUUCCAAGUCUUCAAUAUUAGGGAUAAGAAAAAUCAAGGGUAACCUAAAAGGUUCAUGUCUCACUUAAUACUUUAACAGAUCCCCUAAUAUGUAUAAAAGAAGUCUGCAGAAACAGUGGUUAAGUAUAAGAAACUUGAGAAAGUUAAACAAAAAAAAAAAGGUCAAGAGACUGUAAAUUUUAAAUUAAGGGGAUAUAAAUUACGAGGAAAACAGCAUAUGAUCGAUGUAGUUUAGAGAGACUUAACCAGAAUAUACCAAAAAUCUAAAAACAAAAGGUAAGAAACUGUAGCCAACUAGAUUCUAUAUUUACUUUGGACUCUGCUGCACCAUAAAAAAUAACACAAUAUACAGCAAUUCUGCUAGCCAGAAACAGCUUCCUGUGCACAUAAUUGUCCAGACCUAGCUUCUCAACCAGUUUAGAACAGGGGACAAGCAAUUAGCCAGAACUCUAGCUGAAAUAAUUCAUUUGACCAAAUAUAUUGUGGUAAAAACAAUAAAAUUACAAUGCACCUCAUCAACUACAUAUUAUUAACUACCAACUUACAUAAAAAAUUUUGAGGGGAGUUCUUCCACUGUAAUUCCAGUCCUUUUGACACGCACAGCUUAUUACGAUUAUCUGAGCAUGACAGGUUUUAUGUCAAAACUUGAGGCAACCUUGUAGCAUUAAUACAAGACAAGAAACAAAUGAUACAUACCGUGGAGUGGAUGCUACCGAUGGUUGCAUAAAGUACAAGAGUGAAGAAAGCUUUAUAGUUCCAAUAACCAACACAAUUAUUUAUCCACAGGCAAUGAUGGUCCUGCACCCAAUUAGAGCAUUGUAACGUCGGAAACCAUAAUUUUGCAAUUUUCAAGGUUAAAGAAAAACUCUUACUCAAAUAAAAAUUGCUAAAACAAAUAUAGCCUACCAUCCUUAGUAUGCAUCUUCUGCAAACCCGGCAAUGAUGAGCCCUGGGAGGCUUAUAAGCAGCACAUUUGUCACAAUAUUUUGAUUGUACACCCUAAAUCAUUCAUCCAUGAAGUCAAAAUACAUAAUGAAGUUAUGAACUUUGCAUAAUGCAUAAAUCAAAAUCACACAUCUAACUAACAGCUGGAUUGACUACUCAAUAUCACACGUCUCAUAACAUUAUUUGUAAAGAACCUUUAUGAACCUCAAUUCAGCCAUUUGACAUUGAUUGCCUCAAUGUCACAUCAAGCUUCUGACAACUAUAAAACCUGUAUACAUAAACUUUAGCAUAUUCUUAAAUCAUAAAAAAUGCAAUAUUUAGAAUAUUGCAAAUACCAAAACUAAAGACUAGACAACAAAUAUUGACUUUUCAUGUUGUGGCUACAACUGUAUUAUAUAAGACAUCUGUAAAACAAUUUAAACCCAAGAAAUGAGAAGUGCCAACCCUGUUAAGCUCCUAAAGCCAUUGGAAAUAGUUAGGCUCCAUUUGGUUGAUGCUUUUGCUCUUCGCUUUUUGUUUUUUCUAUUUUCUAUGCAUUUUGCUUCUCCUUUUCUAUUCAUUUUUUGCAAAAAUAAGAAAACAAAGAGCAAAAGCAUCAAUCAAAUGGAGUCUUAAAUUAGUCUUCACAUCCAAAAGAUCCAAAUUGGAAUAAAACACGUAUGCUUGAAAUUUUUACAAUUGGAAUAAAAGUAAAAGCUCCAUUAAUUACCUUAUUUUAUUGAACAUAUCUCGAGUUAAAUUUGGAGAUGGUAAAUGACAGUGUUCUACAAAAAGUAAACAGUUCCUAACCCUGUCCUUCAAAAUCCACCAGCAUCUACCACUUCAUACCCAACAUUUCAAUCCAAUUCUCUAAAAGCUUUCUAAUGAAUGUAAAAAACCCAAAUCACAUCAUAUCUCAAAACACAAAAAAUUCAACUUUCCUUGAAAAUAUUGAUUUAAUACAUUUAGAAAAAAAGAAAACAAAACUUACAUUUUUCUUGGGUUCUUCAUCUGAGACAGAAGAACUAUCUUCAACAUCAGGGAGAUAAGAAGAAGGAGCAUAACCUGGGUCAGUAAGAACGCCAACAGAAAAAGAGAAGAGACACAGAGAAGCCAAGAAAGUGAAGAUCUUGGCAUUUAAAGAUCCAGCUGAGCUCUGCAAACCAACCCAAUCUUCAAUGAAAAUGAAAACUGUGAUAUAAUAAACAAAACCAGAACAAGAAAAACACAGCAAAGUUUGGAAUUGAGAGGAAUUUUUGGUACUUCAUUUUGGAGAAUUCUAGGGUUGAGAAGAAGAGGAGAGCUGGUAGACAUGAGAGUUUUACCUUUGGUCGUUGCUAGACAUAAUGAAUGUCGUCAAAAAUAUCUUGGGCUCCUUUGAAAAGUUUUGGGUUAUAAUUUUUGGGCCGUUGAUAACUGACAGUCCGUGUUGGAAUUCUGUAAAAGAUGAAUUUUGUGAAAUUUUGUAUUGAAAAAAUAAUUAUAAAAAAAAGAAAUUAACAAUCAAAAUUAAUGAUUUGAUUAUAUUACUUGUUAAAUAGAUAACGCAUAACAAACGAGAUGUAAUUUUUAUUUAAAUAAGCAUAUAUUAAUUAAAAAUUAUGACAAAAUUUACCCCUUUCAAUAUAAACAGUGAUUAAGUUGGUGUAAAAAUAUUAUAUAUAUUCAAUCAAUAAUGCAUUAAUUUGUUAACAAAUGCAGAGAUUGUGUUAUAUUGAUAUAUUGUUUUAUCUACAUUUUAUGCCAUUACAAGGAAUUAAUAAUGUUGAUUUUUAAAAAAAAUAAAGAGAAAAGAAAAUGAAGAAUUAAUAAUGUGAAAAACAAAAGAACAGACCUAUGAAAUUAAGCAGCAGAAUAAAAUAUCGAAGGCUUUGCAUUUUUGUGUGGCCUAGAUUAUAGGAAAUUGAAUCUAACGGUGAGAUGAUGAGUUGAAAAAGAGAUAAAGGUGAAUCACUGUCCGAUCUUGCUUCCUGAAAAGGUGAGGGAAACCAUGAGACUAAAAUGCAUCGCUUAUUCAACAAAAUGAAGCUGAAGUUUAAGCAUAUUAAAAUAGAGAUAUAUAUAUAUGAGAAAAAUAAAGCAUUAAUAAGAGGGGAGAGGAUUGUAAGAAAAUUACUUCAAUUUUCAUCAAAUUAGGCAAAGCAGCAGACAAUGUCCUGGGGAUCUCAAUCUCAAACAAUGCAAAUAUCUGGGACGUGAGAAAUCUUAGUCCAAUCGGCACCGGUGUCCCUUUUGCAUCUUUCACUCAAAUGGGGACAAUAAAUGAUUUGAAUAAGGCGUAGAUUGGCAAGUCGACUCAUCCCUUCUAGCAAUGAUUGUAGUUUGUGGGAGUUUCUAAUUUCCAACUCUUUGAGGGAAGUGAGAUUGGAUAUCCAGUCGGGCAAAGCCAUCAAAUUGUGACAACCAUUAAUUGUCAACUUUCUUAAAGAGGUGAGGGCAUGCAUUUCUAUCUGCAACGAUGUGAAUUCAAGACAAUUUUCAAUCUCUAGAGACUCAAGACAAAUGCAGCUGGAGUUUUGUAAAAACUCCUUUAACGCAGAUUCUGCAUUUUCAAUCCCAUUUAAACUCAAGGACUUCAAAUUGGAGAGAGGAAGAGUAGUCGAUGAUGAUGUUGUUGCAGCUGAUGUUAUCUUCACCUUGGUUCUCAUCCUCAUUGUCUGCUGCAAUAGCCUUCCACUAGUACUCAACAAGACCAACUUGUCAUUGAGAGUUGAAAACAAUGGGAGAGAGGUUAGCUUAGGACAUCCCCAAAUAAGUAAUCUGGAAAGGUAAGGAAAGUGAAGCAGCAACUCUACAGUUGAUGCUUCAGUUGAUUCUUCAUUAUCCUCAUCAUCUUCCUUCCUCCUCCUCCACCAUCCCUUGAGAUUGGGACAAUCGAAAAUCCUCAGAGAUUUAGGGAUGGGAAGAGCGUCGUUGCUAUUAACAUGUCUGUUUCUAUUUUUGACACGUGUUCUAAAGCAUCCAAAUCGUAAAGUUUAGAAUCUUUAGAGAGGGGAGAUGAUUCAUAGGAGGUAGAUUUCGGCAUUUCUUACAAGCCUCUAUUUCAAUGUUGACUAAAUUUAUGAUGGAGGACAACCAAUUCGAAAACUUGGCUCCAUUAAACUCCGAUACCCACAACACCUUGAGAUUUGGAUGUGGUCGUAGGCUUUCCAACACCUGUUCCUCAUCCAAACUUGCUUCAUCCCCUUGGCUCCUGUAUACACUUCACGAUAAAAAUAAGUAUUCUAGAUACAGUUUUUCUUCCAAGUAGGUUGCCUCGCUUUCUGGAGUGGCAUCUCUUAAAUAUUCAAUUGAAAGCUUUCCUUGCAAGUUAUUCAACAUAUUCAAUUCACUUAGCCCCCCAACAUGCCGAUCUCUCUUUCCUAUUUUAAACAUUGGUAAUUGUCGUAACGUGCGAGUUCGGGAACCCGAUCGCUAGACGCGGACGAAAAUUAAAUGUUUAGGAGUCGUCACCAAUCGUUUUUAUCUAGGUUUGAUUGGACACCUAUUAACCCGUUUCUAAUCAACGAAGUCCUAAAUUAAUUUUAAGUUCGUCGAAAGAAUGAGAAUUGAUCCACGUUUUUUAAAGAUGGGUUCGGGAGUGCGGUUACACACGGAGAAGGGUUAUCACCUCCAUGGCGCCCGUUCCACGAAUGAUAUCAUUUAAUCUUAAGUUAUCUUAUUGUAGCCUACUUUUGAUUUAGUCCCCGCUUAUUAACUAAUUUUCUAUUAAAUUGACUGCUUGAGUCUUUUAUUUGGUUUUACGUAUGCACAUGAUGCAAGCGUAAAAUGCUGUCAUGACUUGUUUAUUUUAAAUAAUGGGGUUGGUAAUCUUUUAUUGGAAAAUCAUUCGAAAACCAUCCCAACGCUUUGGUGAAGUCUCGAAAUUUUCCUCACCUAGAGAUAUCCGCGGAAGAACUCGUCUCUACAAGCUCCUCGGGGAAAUCUCAUCAUCGGAACUCCCGCACCAUUUGCAAGAUAAAUGUGGCAUGCUAUGAUAGUAUAAGAUGAUGAUGCCUAUAUGAUCGCGUUUAUUGAUUUAGUUAGUUAAAAUUCAUGUGAUAAUGUGUUUAAUAGUUCAAGGUGAUUUAUUGCCGUGUUUACGUGUUUAUUAUUAAAAUUUUUUCUUUAAUGCAUAUUAUUUGCUAUUUUAUUAUUUUUUAUCUUUUUAUUAUUUAUUUAUUAUUUUUAUUUAUUAUUUCGUUUUAUAGUUUUUAAACAAUUAUUUGAAUUAAUGGGUAUUAGAGUAUAGAGUUCGGAUAUAUCCCGACGCUUCGGUGAAAAUUCGUUUCGAUCUCUAAAUUUAAGUGACCUACCUAAAAGUGGCAACUCUUUACCAAUUUUAAGUGAAAUUACUCAAAAAAAUGUAUUUUAUUAUUUAUUUAAUAUUUCUAUUUCUUUUUAUUAUUAUAUUUUUUUAUUUCUUUAUUCUUCUUCAUAAUUUAUUUUUACUUUUUAUAAUUUUUAUAUUUGUAUUAUGAUUUUUUAAUAUUAUCAUUUAUUUAUUUAUUAUUAUUAUUAUUAUCUUCUAAUACUAAAAUCAACAUAAAAAAAAUUUAAAAUUUUUUUAUAACUUUUCCUAAAAUAAUUAACAUUAAAUCAACAAUACAUUUUAUCUACACAAAAUGGACUAGAUCCAAAACCAACUAAAAUGACCCACAAAUAAAAGGAAAGAGUUUUACCUUACCAGGCUAGAUUGGCCCAGUUUUCACAAGCCCGCAGAGGACCCAAGCUUGCCACUCCAAUCCUGUUUUGCAAGCCCACCGGACCCUUGACCCAAAACCUUUUCCUUCUUUUUUUCUUUUCUUUAUUUCUUUUCAUUUUUCUUUCUUCUUCUCUCCCAGCCGCUCCCUCUUCUUCUUCUCUCUUUCUUUCUUUCUCCUUCUCAUUCUUCCCUUUUUUCCCCUUAUUUCUUUCUCUUUUUCUUCUUUUCUCUUUCUUCUUUUCUUUCUCCUUCUUCCUCUCUCUCCCAACUGUAGCAUUCCCCACUACCGGCGCCCCUCUCCCUCUGUCUCCCUCACCUUUUUUGUUUCUUUUGUAUUUAUUUUUUUGAUUUUUUUGUUGUUUGAUUGUGGCUUUUUGGUUGCUGUUUUGUGGGAUUUUGGGUUAAUUGUUGUUGUUUUUUCUUGUUUGAGUUUUUUUUGGUGGAGGGAUUUUUUUGCAGGAGAUGAAUCAAUUUUUUAAAAUUUUCUUGACUUUUUUGGCUGUGUUUUUUUGCUUUUUCAAAAAUCCUCCCCCUUUUUUGCUGGUAAUAAAUCUUUAAAAACGGGGUUGUCCAAAAAUUUGGAUAACCCGGUAAUGGGGUUCUGGCACCAAAAAGUUGGUAGCCAGAGCCCCCAUUACUCAUGGUGGUCGAGGGUAUGCCCAAUCAUUCCUCUCUUCUUCUUUUUUUUUAAUUUUUUAUUAUUUUGUUUUAUAUUUUAUUAUUAUUUUUUUAUUUUAGAGGUGUUUACAGUAAUGUUGUAAGACAAAUCAAUUGCCUCAAUCCACAUGGCAUAUAUCUUAAUUCAUAACAACAAUCAAUUUCAAGAUGCCUAAGCCUCACCAUGUUUCCAAUAUCUCUUAGCAAUUCCUGGAGACUUCUACAGGAAUUGAGACCCAGUGUUUGCAAAUUAUGUAGCCUUGUCACAAAAUUAGGUACUUCUCUAAUAUCAUUGUUCCAAGAAAGAUCAAGAUAAUAUAGAUGUUUUAAUCUACAAAUAGAAUGCGGUACUUUUUCAAACGUUGAGAAUUUCAAAUCCAACACUCGUAAACAUUUAAAGCUUUUUAUAAUUUUAUCCCUACUGGACUCAUUUUCUUUGAAGUGAAGUGAUCGAAAAAAUGUUCUUAUUUUAUUUGCCUUGAGUGAGACACUUGGAAUAUUCGAUGAAAAAUCUAAUUUCUCACCAAAUGACACAUGACGUGUGUUUUCAUCUAAAUUUUCUACAUUUAAAUUUGUAAGAACAAAGCACUCAAUUCCAGCAACAGAUUUGGCAAGAUCAUACAUCAGAUCAUGCAUCUUGCAACUUGCUAUAUUGCCAAAAAAAUCUUUUUCUGCCUCUUGAAAGAAAGAUCUCCAAAGCAAAUCUAUGAAGUAAUCAUGACCAACAUCCUUUAGAGAUUGGCCUUUGUCUGGUGACUGAAUAAAUCCUUGAGCCAUCCAAAGCUUUAUCAAAGCAUGGUUACUGAUUCUAUAAUCCUUGGGAAAUAAAGAACAAUAAGCAAAGCAUUGUUUCAAAUGUGAUGGAAGAUGACCAUAACUUAACCUUAAAAUUGGCUCAAUACCAGUUCCUUGUUGGGUUAUAUUUUCAAGCACACGUGACCACUUUGAUUUGGUUCUUUCAAGGCAUAAAAAGCUUCCUAUGGACCUAAUUGCUAAAGGAACCCCUGCACAACAUUUCACAAUAUUUUCUCCAAUUGUUUCUAACUCUAGGUCGAGAAAGUUGGAAGUUUGGAAUUGUUUUUCAAAUGUUAUUUGCUUAAAUUAAGACAAAAAUUGACUUUCUGAUAGACCUUCUAAAAUGUAUGGUGAAAUUGUGCCUGUAACUCUUCCAACCAAUUCACUCAUUGUAGUUACAACAAUCCUACUUCCUUUAGCUCCCCCCACUAACAGACUUUUCACCAUAGACCACUUCUGUGCAUCCUCAUUCCACACAUCAUUUAGGACUAGCAAAUAUUUCUUUCCAUUAAUUUUUUGUUGGAGGUCAUUUUGCAGUAUUUCCAUUUGACAAUUUUGUUGAACUUUCUUUUGAGUUGCAACCUCAAGUAUUUUUUCCACAACUAUUUUAACUUUAAACCUAUCUGACACACAUACCCACAGUUUUAGCUCAAAAUGUACUAUGACUUUUUCAUCAUUAAACACUAUUUGAGCUAGUGUAGUUUUUCCUAAUCCUCCAAUCCCAACAAUGGGGACAACUCUAAUACUUUCUUCAGAAUUAGUUUCUAGGAGCAAUUUUAUAAUUGCACUUUUAUCACCAUUUCUUCCAAUCACUUCCUCUAAGCGUACAAAGGAAUGCGUUUGCUCUUUUUCCCUACUUUGAAUUUGUGACUCUACAAGACGCUCAUUAAAGUGGAAGUUGAUUCUAUCAGCUGAAAUUGCAUCUAGUUUCUCUCUUAGAGCUUUAACUCUAUGACCCAUCUUGAGACGAUAUGAGAACUGGUUUGAUUUCGAGAAGAAAAUGCGUACCUUUUUUGACAUUUCAUUCCCUUUCAUUGUCUUUCACCGUAAAACUUGAGUGGAGAAAUCAUCCAACAAGUGGUCCACAUCAUAAAUUGCAUCUUUGAGCUGCUUGAGCCAACUGUGACCUCUCGGUUGUUGCUGUGGUGUUGCUCCUCUGCAUCGAGAAGGACAGCUUUGAUAAUGGAAAUAGUUCCUUCGAGCUUGGAGAGUUUAGCUUUUACAUUACUGGCCAAGUUAAGUUCUCGGAGAACUAUAGGUCCUAAACCCUCCAGGACUUUUCCAGCAAUGUCAAACAAAACUCCUUCAGCCAUUUCUUUUUUUUUUUCCCGAAAAGAUAAUUGUAAGAGUUUUUGAAAGAAGGAAAAUCUCUUGACUUGUGAAUCAUGAUCAUGUACCAUUGCCAAUAUAUAUAGAUGGAGAAGAGGAAGUACAUAGCCAAUGAUACUUUCCUUGAUGACAAGGGAGAUGGAUCCAUUCUUUCCUCAAGGUGGAGAAAAUAUGUUUCCCAAAGCCAAAAACAUGAAGAAGAUGUUAACUUAUUAAGGUGGAGAAAAUAUUUUUUGUAAAGCCAAAAGCAUGAAGAAGAUGCUAACUUAUUAAAGUGGAGAAGAAUAUGUUUCCUAAAGAUAAAAGCAUGAAGAAGAUGCUAACUUAUGAAUGACAAAAGAUGUCAUUGGGAAAGCUAAGUAAGAAGCAAAUAAGAAAGAACGUUAAAAUGGGAGCCAAUCUACUACUUUCAGCUCAACUCAAGAAACCAACACAAAGGUUCUCUUUAGUCCAGAUCACCAGAUGUGUGUGGUUCAAAGACUGGCUUGCUGCUUGAUUUAACCCAAUCUUCUUGCCUUCUUGAAGUAACAAUCUGUUGAGGCUCAAGGUUUAUGUGUUGCUUGGAGUGAGGCUUCU